AAAAUAAAAAAGGAAAAAGAGAGUGAUGAGUCCCUAAGCAAAAUCCUUGAUUUUGCAUCAAGUGUGUGCACGAGUACAAUAUCCAAUACUAUACUUGACCUGGUACUGCUCUAAUACAAAUAGGAUACUUGCCAAAUAAAAACUAAUGAAUAAUAAAUAUUAUUUCAAAUGCUUGGGGAUACUUUAAAAAUGCCUUCAUAGAUGUAUCCAAAACCUCAUGGAUACAUCAUUACUACAAUUUCGGGUGCAAAUUGAAUUUUACUAAUUAGUUUUGCACAUUUUCAUUCUAUAAUAUCAAAUUAAUAUAAUAAUCCCUCCAUCCCAAAGAGAUUGUCUGGUUUUCUAUUUUGUUUAUCACAAACUGAUUUUCUGAUCAAAACAUUGAGUCAUGCAUUUUCCUAAAAUACCCCUAGUUAUACCCACUUUGUUAAGAGGCAUACAAUAGAGGGUGUUUUAAAAAAGUGUGCUAAAGAAUGGUGAUAUGACAUGUGUCAAUUAAUGAUAGUAGAAAGUCAAACAUGACAAUCCUUUUAGGACAGAGAGUAUGAUUUAUAUAGAUAAUAAAUGAUUUUUUU
Molecule: long non-coding RNA, 575 nt
Organism: Populus euphratica (Euphrates poplar)
Lineage: Eukaryota; Viridiplantae; Streptophyta; Magnoliopsida; Malpighiales; Salicaceae
Exons: 2
Source: RefSeq, a predicted model, not a curated record